GUUUAAAAUAAUUAAAAAAUUUUUAAUAAUUUUUUUUUAAAUAAAUUGAUAAAAUAAUAUUAAUAUAUAGUAUUAGGAUUAGAAAUAAAAAAUUUUUAUAUGUACUGAAAAGGAAAAAUAUAGAUUUUAUUUUUAGUAAAUUUAAAAAAUUGUACCUUUUGCAUUAUGGAUUAAUAAUAUAGAAUGAUAUAUGUUUAAAGUCUCGAAAUAAAAAGAUUUAUUUAUUAUAUAUAUAUAUAUAUAUAUAUAUAUAUAUUUAGUUAACGUUGUAAAGUUAUUAAAUUAAUAAUAGAUGGUAGUGAAAUGCUAUACGAUUUUUAUGGUAGCUAGUUUAUUAAAAAAAACAUUUUAGUGUUAAAAAUUUGGUUUAUAUAAUUAUAUAAAUAAAAUUUUUUAUAUGUAGGGGAUAAGCUCUAUAUUAAUAUAAGAAGUAAUAGAAUGAGAUAGUUUAAGUUUUAUUAAUUAUUUUUCUUUUUGACUAUAUAAAUUUAUAUUGUUCUUUAAAAAAUAAUAAAUUUUUAUUAAUUAUAAAAUAAUUAUAUAUAAUGUUAAUAUGAGUAAAAUAUAGUAUGAUUAUAUAAAUAUAAUAUUUUUUGAUUAUUAUAUUAAUAAUUAUUUAUUUUAAUAAAAUAUUAUAAAGGAAUUCAGCAAAUAUUAAUUUCGCCUGUUUAACAAAAACAUGUCUCUUUGAAUAAAAAUAAUAAAGAGUUGGGCCUGCUCGGUGAAAUCAACUUUAACAGCUGCGGUUUAAUAUCUGUACUAAGGUAGCAUAAUAAAUUGUCUUAUAAAUUGGGACUAGAAUGAAUGGUUUGACGAAAAUUAUACUGUCUCUAUUAUAAUUUUUUGAAAUUAAUUUUUAAAGUGAAAAAGCUUAAAUUUUUUAAAGGGACGAGAAGACCCUAUUGAGCUUUAUAUUAAAAAUAAAUAUAAAAGUAAAUAUAAUAUUAUUUUUUAAUUUUGGUUGGGGUGAUCAAGGAAUAAAAAUAAUACAUAACUUCCUUAAUUUUUAUUUCCUUUAGGUUAAUAAACAAAUAUUUUUCUUUUAUGAUAAGUUACCAUAGGGAUAACAGCGUAAUUUCUUUUGAGAGUUCUUAUUAAAAAAGAAGAUUGCGACCUCGAUGUUGGAUUAAAAUUAACCUUAAGGUGGAGAAGCUUUAUUUGGUAAAUCUGUUCGAUUUUUAAAAUUUUACAUGAUCUGAGUUCAAACCGGUGUAAGCCAGGUUGGUUUCUAUCUUUUAAAAUUUAUUUUAUAUUUAAUUUAGUACGAAAGGAAUAAUUAAAAUUAAUUAAACAAUUAGUUGAGAUAAU
Molecule: ribosomal RNA, 1308 nt
Filed under: Argonauta hians
Lineage: Eukaryota; Metazoa; Mollusca; Cephalopoda; Octopoda; Argonautidae
Description: 16S ribosomal RNA
Rfam family: Archaeal large subunit ribosomal RNA (bases 879-1241)
Source: RNAcentral